Molecule: non-coding RNA, 1191 nt
Organism: Pelobates cultripes (western spadefoot toad)
Lineage: Eukaryota; Metazoa; Chordata; Amphibia; Anura; Pelobatidae
Source: the annotation of a GenBank genome assembly
CCUCUCUCCAGCUUUGGUCCGUCUGGCUUACUGGGCUGUGUUGGGGUUGCGCUGUGGCGGCCAUCUUGAGGGUGCCUCGUGGCUCACCCAGGUGUCUGGCUCAGGCCCCUUGGCAGUAGCUAGUAGUCUGUGCUUCAGUCGCUUAGUUUGGACCGGGAUGUCCCCCACCGGUCCAGGGGGGGGGGAAAGGAGUUAGGAGGUAUGCUGAGCCUGUGGUCUGGCUCUCUAGCGAGGAAAGCGGCCGCCUCUCCUCGGUUCGAUCCCCAGUAGGCCUCAGCAGGUUUUUAGGGUUCCCGGCUCUUGUUAGACGAGAAUCGGGUGGCAAUCGGUUCCUCCGGGUGUCCCCUCCUUGUUUAGCAUCCUCCUGAUAGUAGACGUGCCGGUUUUUAGGGGUUUUUACCCUUAAAUGUGCAGUUUUGGUCAGGAGCUUGGUUCCUGCACGUCUGAUCAGCCUGGAAGCUAGGCUCCGCCCCCCGGUCAUCAUAAAUUUUUAUUAAUAUAUAUUUUUCCCUUUUUAUUUUUAGAUUCAUUAUUUAUGUAUAUUUUUUUCUAUUUAAUUAUACACUUUUUAUAUACACAAGAGUAUAUUUCACUGUUAUUCUUUGAUAUUCCCGACAGCAUAGUAUAUCAAUGAGGUCUGUAAUGUCUAUUUUCAAUCAGACUGUUUGUUUUCAAGGCGACUGUUCGCCUAUUUUGUCUUCUCCCUUUCAUAUAGAUUUUGUGUGAUUGUAUGUGUGUGCGCAUGUUUCUCCCAACAUGCACACGUGCUAUGAUUAUGGCUCCUUUAUCCAUUUGCAAGCUACCUCCGUAUGAACGACUACGUCAUCAGCACUUUCCCCGGACGCACAGGUAGUGCAUCUUUUGCGUUCCACAGUGGAACACACGACAUAAGGUGAAACGGAUUCUUGAAGAUUUCCAGCAUUACAAGAAACAUGCAACAUGAAGAACUACCAGAUCCCUGAGGAAGUCUCACAUUGGACGAAACGUGUUGGAUUGUUAUUUCAUCAAACUUUUAUGGACUUUUAAUUUGAUUUUGUUUUAUCUUCUUUUUUUUACAUAUCUCUCCGGUGUUGAAGUUGGUUUUCCUAGACCCACUACAUCGCCGAGUUCCACCUUGUGUGGAGAUAUGCUCUAGACUCUCUUCGUGUCUGUAAGUGCAACCUAAUAAAUUAUAUUCUAGUUGUAAUUUUA